UAUGACCGCCUAUCUGACUGAAUUUUGACAGUCUAAUUCGUUUUUGAAAAAGUUCUCAGGCAAAACAGCUCAAAGCGAAAGUCUGACAACGCGGGAGGACGGAACAACUCGUGUUAAAGAGGUGCUUUCACUGCAUGCGACACCGGGCAGACAAUGUAGCUUGGAGGUUGUGAAGAGGACACAGUUUUGAACGUGACUUCUAGGCUGUCACCACAAGAAAGAAAAACCCUUAUUCUUUAAGGAAUACAGGAAUCCUUCCGCGCCUUCAGAAAUGCAUUCUGCAUUUCUCCAAAUCCUUUCCUCUCCGAUCCACUAGGUGGCAGCAGAAGCAUUAAUUUGUGGCACUUUGGCACUCAGAACCCUGAUCCUACACCCUACUCCUGCUACCCCAUUCGCCUGCCCCUGUUCCCUCUCCUCUGGCUGGCCCCUUUCAGGCCCUCCUGGAGCCCCGAGAAUCUU
Electrophorus electricus (electric eel) is the source of this 459-nucleotide non-coding RNA. Lineage: Eukaryota; Metazoa; Chordata; Actinopteri; Gymnotiformes; Gymnotidae. The record is from RefSeq and is a predicted model, not a curated record.